GGGGAAUCUUGCACAAUGGGCGAAAGCCUGAUGCAGCAAUGCCGCGUGAGUGAUGAAGGCCUUCGGGUUGUAAAUCUCUGUCGGUUGGGACAAAUGGUAUUCACCUAAUACGUGAAUGCAUGAUGGUACCAGCAAAGGAAGAGGCGGCUAACUCUGUGCCAGCAGCCGCGGUAAUACAGAGGCCUCGAGCGUUGUUCGGAAUUACUGGGCGUAAAGGGAAUGUAGGUGGUCAUGUAAGUCAGAUGUGAAAGCCCUGGGCUUAACCUGGGAAGUGCAUUUGAUACUGCGUGGCUGGAGUGCGAGAGAGGAAAGCGGAAUUCCAGGUGUAGGAGUGAAAUCCGUAGAUAUCUGGAGGAAUACCGAUGGUGAAGACAGCUUUCUGGCCCGUAACUGACACUGAGAUUCGAAAGCUUGGGUAGCAAACA
Molecule: ribosomal RNA, 425 nt
Filed under: uncultured bacterium
Lineage: Bacteria
Description: bacterial SSU rRNA
Rfam family: Bacterial small subunit ribosomal RNA
Source: RNAcentral